Molecule: long non-coding RNA, 331 nt
Filed under: Setaria viridis
Lineage: Eukaryota; Viridiplantae; Streptophyta; Magnoliopsida; Poales; Poaceae
Description: long non-coding RNA (SVIR_LNC010188)
Source: RNAcentral
GGGAAGUGAGAAAGAGAGAUGGGGGGAAAUCUGCAAACAGCUUGAGAGCUGCAAUUGAGAUUUAUUUUAUUUCAUAAGAUUUUGAUAAGUAUGAAAACCUUCUCAAAUUCACCAGGAUAGAAAAAUCCAAAAAAAUACCCCUUAAAUUGUCUAUUUGUUCAAAAUAUUUUAUGCUAUACUUUUCUAAGGAAUUUUAUUUGGUGCUUCUUCAAGUAGUUUUACAAUAAAAUUAAAAAAAAGAAUUAUACAUGUUGAGCAUGCGCUUUUACAAAAUAUUGUAAAAAUAUAUAUAACCAUAUGUUUCAAUAUUCAAAAUAUGUGAAUAGGCCAC